RNAcentral lists this ribosomal RNA (244 nucleotides) under uncultured bacterium. RNAcentral describes it as "partial 16S ribosomal RNA". It matches the Rfam family "Bacterial small subunit ribosomal RNA", at positions 57 to 305 of the family's 1533-position model. The record is from RNAcentral.
GCAAGUCGAACGGUAACAUUUCUAGCUUGCUAGAAGAUGACGAGUGGCGGACGGGUGAGUAAUACUUAGGAAUAUGCCUUUUGGAGGGGGAUAACCAUUGGAAACGAUGGCUAAUACCGCAUAACGUCUACGGAGCAAAGGGGGCUGCGGCUCCCACCAAAAGAGGAGCCUAAGCGAGAUUAGCAUGUGGGUGAGGUAAGAGCUCACCAAGGCGACGAUCUCUAGCUGUUCUGAGAGGAAGAUC